GGAAGCCGGUGGAAAUCCGGCACGGUCGCGCCACUGUGAACGAGACGAGCCGCCCCGAUGGGCGAAGCGCCUCGCAAGUCAGAC
Molecule: non-coding RNA, 84 nt
Filed under: Streptomyces avermitilis
Lineage: Bacteria; Bacillati; Actinomycetota; Actinomycetes; Kitasatosporales; Streptomycetaceae
Source: RNAcentral